GUGGGGAAUCUUCCGCAAUGGACGAAAGUCUGACGGAGCAACGCCGCGUGAGUGAAGAAGGGUUUCGGCUCGUAAAGCUCUGUUGUCGGGGACGAAUGUGCAGUAUUUGAAUAAAGUACUGUAAUGACGGUACCUGACGAGGAAGCCACGGCUAACUACGUGCCAGCAGCCGCGGUAAUACGUAGGUGGCAAGCGUUGUCCGGAAUUAUUGGGCGUAAAGGGAGCGCAGGCGGGAAGGUAAGUCGGUCUUAAAAGUGCGGGGCUCAACCCCGUGAUGGGAUCGAAACUAUCUUUCUUGAGUGCAGGAGAGGAAAGUGGAAUUCCUAGUGUAGCGGUGAAAUGCGUAGAUAUUAGGAGGAACACCAGUGGCGAAGGCGACUUUCUGGACUGUAACUGACGCUGAGGCUCGAAAGCCAGGGGAGCGAACGGGAUUAGAAACCCGUGUAGUCC
Molecule: ribosomal RNA, 450 nt
Filed under: uncultured bacterium
Lineage: Bacteria
Description: partial 16S ribosomal RNA
Rfam family: Bacterial small subunit ribosomal RNA
Source: RNAcentral